Molecule: long non-coding RNA, 348 nt
Organism: Myotis myotis
Lineage: Eukaryota; Metazoa; Chordata; Mammalia; Chiroptera; Vespertilionidae
Exons: 3
Source: RefSeq, a predicted model, not a curated record
AACAAACUGUUUUCCACACCGUGUGAAAUCCUGCAAUUGUCCUGCUUCCUCCUUUCUGGCGGUUCUUCCCACAGCAGCAGGUUGCUUCCUCUCAUGCAUGUACAGGUUUGGGCCUCAGGGGUCUCUACUUACUGGCUUACAUGUUCAACAAAAUCUCUCCCUUCCUCCUCGAGAGAACUUGGGUAAUGCCAGUUCUGGGUGACCGCUCCAAAUUGUCAGUCUUACAGCUUCCUGGAACGUGUAUGCCAAAUAUAUGAUGAAAGGUGAGACCACGAGGAAGAAUGCUGAACACACUCCGAUAAUUGGUAUUUCUCUCCAUCUGUCACAUUAAAUUUAUUUUUCUCUUUU